This 800-nucleotide ribosomal RNA is filed under the name Bacillus velezensis. RNAcentral's name for it is "bacterial SSU rRNA". It matches the Rfam family "Bacterial small subunit ribosomal RNA", at positions 54 to 836 of the family's 1533-position model. Lineage: Bacteria; Bacillati; Bacillota; Bacilli; Caryophanales; Bacillaceae. The record is from RNAcentral.
CAUGCAAGUCGAGCGGACAGAUGGGAGCUUGCUCCCUGAUGUUAGCGGCGGACGGGUGAGUAACACGUGGGUAACCUGCCUGUAAGACUGGGAUAACUCCGGGAAACCGGGGCUAAUACCGGAUGGUUGUCUGAACCGCAUGGUUCAGACAUAAAAGGUGGCUUCGGCUACCACUUACAGAUGGACCCGCGGCGCAUUAGCUAGUUGGUGAGGUAACGGCUCACCAAGGCGACGAUGCGUAGCCGACCUGAGAGGGUGAUCGGCCACACUGGGACUGAGACACGGCCCAGACUCCUACGGGAGGCAGCAGUAGGGAAUCUUCCGCAAUGGACGAAAGUCUGACGGAGCAACGCCGCGUGAGUGAUGAAGGUUUUCGGAUCGUAAAGCUCUGUUGUUAGGGAAGAACAAGUGCCGUUCAAAUAGGGCGGCACCUUGACGGUACCUAACCAGAAAGCCACGGCUAACUACGUGCCAGCAGCCGCGGUAAUACGUAGGUGGCAAGCGUUGUCCGGAAUUAUUGGGCGUAAAGGGCUCGCAGGCGGUUUCUUAAGUCUGAUGUGAAAGCCCCCGGCUCAACCGGGGAGGGUCAUUGGAAACUGGGGAACUUGAGUGCAGAAGAGGAGAGUGGAAUUCCACGUGUAGCGGUGAAAUGCGUAGAGAUGUGGAGGAACACCAGUGGCGAAGGCGACUCUCUGGUCUGUAACUGACGCUGAGGAGCGAAAGCGUGGGGAGCGAACAGGAUUAGAUACCCUGGUAGUCCACGCCGUACACGAUGAGUGCUAAGUGUUAGGGGGUUUCCG